GGAAAUGUUGGGUAAACUAAAAGAACAAGAGGCCCCAGUAGUUAAGAAGAGAAACAAGCUAUAUAGGAAGGAACUUGCUCUUGCCUUUCUUCUACUCACUGCAGCUGCAAGAAGCCUUUUAUCGGCACAUGGAAUUCAUUUCUACUACCUGCUGUUCCAAGGUUUGUCUUUCCUUGUUGUUGGAUUGGACUUGAUUGGAGAGCAGGUCAGCUGAAACAACAACCCCACAUAAAUUUCGUAAUUGUUUGAAUCUUAAUGUGUUUUGUUGUUGUUGUUGAUAUUGGUACUACAAUUGCAGAACUGAUUAAAUUCCCAGUUCUACAUCAUUAUAAGUUUCGAUUUGAACUGGAAUUGAGAGCACAAAUUAGUUAGGAACAUGUGUUGAAAUUAGCAUGUACCGGCACAUAUUAGAAGUUGAUUUUUUGAUUGUAUAAUUAUUAAUUACAAGUGAACACCAGUGUUUCAAAUAAUCAUGUACUCAUAUAAAAUGAAGCAAUUCUAAUA
Molecule: long non-coding RNA, 504 nt
Filed under: Panax ginseng (ginseng)
Lineage: Eukaryota; Viridiplantae; Streptophyta; Magnoliopsida; Apiales; Araliaceae
Description: long non-coding RNA (PGIN_LNC013717)
Source: RNAcentral